GACGAACGCUGGCGGCGUGCUUAACACAUGCAAGUCGAACGGAAAGGCCCUGCUUUUGUGGGGUGCUCGAGUGGCGAACGGGUGAGUAACACGUGAGUAACCUGCCCUUGACUUUGGGAUAACUUCAGGAAACUGGGGCUAAUACCGGAUAGGAGCUCCUGCUCCAUGGUGGGGGUUGGAAAGUUUCGGCGGUUGGGGAUGGACUCGCGGCUUAUCAGCUUGUUGGUGGGGUAGUGGCUUACCAAGGCUUUGACGGGUAGCCGGCCUGAGAGGGUGACCGGCCACAUUGGGACUGAGAUACGGCCCAGACUCCUACGGGAGGCAGCAGUGGGGAAUAUGGCACAAUGGGCGGAAGCCUGAUGCAGCAACGCCGCGUGCGGGAUGACGGCCUUCGGGUUGUAAACCGCUUUCGCCUGUGACGAAGCGUGAGUGACGGUAAUGGGUAAAGAAGCACCGGCUAACUACGUG
Molecule: ribosomal RNA, 468 nt
Filed under: uncultured bacterium
Lineage: Bacteria
Description: partial 16S ribosomal RNA
Rfam family: Bacterial small subunit ribosomal RNA
Source: RNAcentral